This 497-nucleotide ribosomal RNA is filed under the name uncultured bacterium. RNAcentral's name for it is "partial 16S ribosomal RNA". It matches the Rfam family "Bacterial small subunit ribosomal RNA", at positions 28 to 507 of the family's 1533-position model. The record is from RNAcentral.
GAUGAACGCUGGCGGCGUGCCUAAUACAUGCGAGUCGAGCGAACGGACGAGGAGCUUGCUUCUCUGAAGUUAGCGGCGGACGGGUGAGUAACACGUGGAUAACCUACAUAUAAGACUGGGAUAACUUAGGGAAACCGGAGCUAAUAUCGGAUCAUAUAUUGAACCGCAUGGUUCAAUAGUGAAAGCCGGUUUUGCUGUCACUUAUAGAUGGAUCCGCGCCGCAUUAGCUAGUUGGUAAGGUAACGGCAUACCAAGGCAACGAUGCGUAGCCGACCUGAGAGGGUGAUCGGCCACACUGGAACUGAGACACGGUCCAGACUCCUACGGGAGGCAGCAGUAGGGAAUCUUCGGCAAUGGGCGAAAGCUUGACGGAGCAACGCCGCGUGAGUGAUGAAGGUCUUCGGAUCGUAAAACUCUGUUAGUAGGGAAGAACAAAUGUGUAAGAAACUAUGCACGUCUUGACGGUACCUAAACAGAAAGCCACGGCUAACUACGUG